Molecule: long non-coding RNA, 1288 nt
Organism: Daphnia magna
Lineage: Eukaryota; Metazoa; Arthropoda; Branchiopoda; Diplostraca; Daphniidae
Exons: 6
Source: RefSeq, a predicted model, not a curated record
ACCAGAGGCACAACAACCAAAGAUUUGGAAAGAAUUGCGCAGAAAAUAUUUUUCCGUCCCUCGUAACCAACAAAAACAAAGAGUACUUUUUAUAUCACAGGUGACUGACGCCCUAAGAAAGCACGUAAAAGGAGCAAUAGUAAUCACAAAUUGGGAAACAUUGCAAAUAUAACCGAAGAACAAAUGGAUGAAUUGGAACGUGAACAAAUGAAAUACGUACCGCAGCAUGAACCGGGAGCGCCUGAAAAUUUUACGGAAAUUUCUUAGCAUCUUAAAUACUUUGCUGCAGCACUAGCUCUCAAAACCUCGGCAAGAAUGAGCAUCUAAACAUUCCGGGACAAGCUAGUUCUGCCACGCAUAUCCGUCUAGCUCUCAGUCUAGUAGGAUUUAUGCAGUAUUAUUGGCCCGGACAAUUAAUUUGUUGUCGACUGGUGACGGAAAAUUCACAUGUGCUGGAAAAACAGAUCAGUCGGUCUCAUCGUCCGCCAAAACCUGGUCCGUCAAGUCGUCCUCACCCUUUAAGUAACAAACAACCUAUACUAAAUCACACAAUCGCUACCAAACAUUCUUCAGUGGAGUACUUUUUAUAUCAGAGGUGACUGACGCCCUAAGAAAGCACGUAAAAGGUGCAAUAGUAAUCAUGCAUUGAAAAAUAUUGCAAAUAUAACCGAAGAACAAAUGGACGAAUUGGAACGUGAUCAAAUGAAAUACGUACAACAGCAUAAACCGGGAACGCCUGAAAAUUCCACGGCAACUUCUUACCGUCUUAAAUACUUUGCUCCAGCACUAGCUCUCAAAACCUCGGCAAGUAUGACCAUCUAAACAUUCCGCGACAAACUAGUUCUGCCACGCAUAUCCGUCUAGCUCUCAAUCUCAUAAGGUUUGUGCAGUAUUAUUGGCCCGGACAAUUGACUUGUUGAGGACUAGUGACGGAAAAUUCACAGGUGUUGGAGAAACAGAUCAGUCAGUCUCAUCGUCCGCCAAUACCUGAUACCUCCUUGGCAGUUGCCACGCCGUAAAUAGAUUCAUCGACUGCUAACGAUACUAGAACAGACUCUGCAGAUAUCCGUCAAACUAAAAUAAUUUUCUAUGCCCUAAAGGUCACAAAAGCCAAAUGGCGGAUAGAUCCAGCGCAAAAAGCCCUCCCGGUGAUCAAGCGGGCAAACACAAAUUCCAUCCACAGCACAAGUCUAAAGAACCAGAAGGUAACUUUCAUCUGCACAUUUCAUUGCACAUUAAUUUACUAUCUUGUUGUUGUUUCACAAUUACACAUUUUCGCACGAAUCAA